GCUUAACAUGCAAGUCGAACGGUAACAGGGGAAGCUUGCUCCGCUGAACGAGUGAGCGAACGGGUGAGUAAUAUAUCGGAACGUACCCAAGAGUGGGGGAUAACGUACUGAAAGUUACGCUAAUACCGCAUACGAUCUAUGGAUGAACGUGGGGGACCUUCGGGCCUUGUGCUCCUGGAGCGGCCGAUAUCUGAUUAGCUAGUUGGUGAGGUAAAGGCUCACCAAGGCGACAAUCAGUAGCUGGUCUGAGAGGACGACCAGCCACACUGAAACUGAGACACGGUCCAGACUCCUACGGGAGGCAGCAGUGGGGAAUUUUGUGACAAUGGGCGCAAGCACUGAUCCAGCAAUGCCGCGUGAGUGAAGUAAGGCGCUUCGUGGUUGUAGAAGCUCUUUUGUCAGGGAAGAAACGGCUAGUGGCUAAUAUCCACGGCUAAUGACGGUACCUGAAUAAUAAGCACCGGCUAACUACGUGCCAGCAGCCGCGGCAAUACGUAGGGUGCAAGCGUUAAUCGAAAUUACUGGGCGUAAAGCGUGCGCACGCGGUUUUGUAAGUCUGACGUGAAAUCCCCGGGCUCAACCUGGGAAUUGCGUUGGAGACUGCAAGGCUAGAAUCUGGCAGAGGGGGGUAGAAUUCCACGUGUAGCAGUGAAAUGCGUAGAGAUGUGGAGGAACACCGAUGGCGAAAGCAGCCCCCUGGGUCAAGAUUGACGCUCAUGCACGAAAGCGAGAGGAGCUAACAGGAUUACAUACCCUGGUAGUCCACGCCCUAAACGAUGUCUACUAGUUGUCGGGUUUUAAUUAACUUGGUAACGCAUCUAACGCCGUGGAAGUAGACCGCCUGGGGAUGACGGUCGCAGGAUUUAAAACUCAAAGGAAUUGACGGGGGACCCGCCACAAGCGGUGAAUGAUGGGAAUUAAAUUCA
Molecule: ribosomal RNA, 926 nt
Filed under: Massilia timonae
Lineage: Bacteria; Pseudomonadati; Pseudomonadota; Betaproteobacteria; Burkholderiales; Oxalobacteraceae
Description: bacterial SSU rRNA
Rfam family: Bacterial small subunit ribosomal RNA
Source: RNAcentral